UUAAAUUCCUUGAAGGGAAGCAGUAGAAACAGGAAGCUUGUCUACAGAGAGCUGCGCAGGUGGAAAGCAGCGUCAGGUCUGUUUUGAAGAUCAUCCCCGAGAAGGGAAGCCGAACACAUCACACGCCAAGUAGGUUUCCACGGUUGUUCCCCGUUAUCGGAACCACGUAUGUCGGUACGUUGUCUUUUCGUACUUGUUUCAAAGGAGAAACAGGGUGGUUGCGGCCUUAUAUAGUCCGUCCCUAGU
This 246-nucleotide non-coding RNA is filed under the name Ruminococcus sp. Its description in RNAcentral is "T-box sequence". It matches the Rfam family "T-box leader". Rfam says of the family: Uncharged tRNA acts as the effector for transcription antitermination of genes in the T-box leader family. T-boxes are found upstream of many aminoacyl-tRNA synthetase genes and some amino acid biosynthetic genes usually in Gram-positive bacteria. Lineage: Bacteria; Bacillati; Bacillota; Clostridia; Eubacteriales; Oscillospiraceae. The record is from RNAcentral.